UGCAGUCGAGCGGACCAAUUGGAGCUUGCUCAUUGGUUUAACGGCGGACGGGUGAAUAACACGUGGGCAACCUGCCCUGCAGAUCGGGAUAACUCCGGGAAACCGGUGCUAAUACCGAAUAAUUUGCGGCCUCUCCUGAAGCUGCCCGGAAAGACGGUUUCCGCUGGCACUGCAGGAUGGGCCCCCGGCGCAUUAACUAAUUGGUGGGGUAAUGGCCCACCAAGGCCACCAUGCCUAACCCAACUGAAAGGGUGGUCGGCCCCCCUGGGACUGAAACACCGCCCAAACUCCUACGGGAGGCAGCAGUAAGGAAUCUUCCGCAAUGGACGCAAGUCUGACGGAACAACCCCCCGUGAGUGACCAAAGUUUUCCGAACCUAAAACUCUGUUGUGAGGGAAAAACACCUACCAAGUAACUACUGGUACCUUGACGGUACCUCCCCAAAAAGCCCCGGCUAACUACCUGCCAGCAGCCGCGGUAAUACCUAAGUGGCAAGCGUUGUCCGGAAUUAUUGGGCGUAAAGCGCGCGCAGGCGGUCCUUUAAGUCUGAAGUGAAAGCCCACGGCUCACCGUGGAAGGCAUUGGAAACUGGAGGACUUGAGUGCAGAAAGAAGAAAGUGGAAUUCCAUGUGUAGCGGUGAAAUGCUAAAGAUGUGGAGGAACACAGUGGCGAAGCACUUUCUGGUCUGUACUGACGUGAAGCCCGAAACGUGGGAGCAACAAGAUUAAUAACCUGGUAUCCACGCGUAAACAUGAUGCUAAUGUUAGGGGUUCCCCCCUUAUGCUGCACUAAGCAUUAACACUCCGCUGGGAUACGGCGCAAGCUGAACUCAAGGAAUGACGGGGCCGCACAGCGGGGAGCUGUGGUUAAUCGAGCACGCGAGAACUUACAGGUCUGACUCCCCUGCCGCUAAGAUAAGCUUCCUCGGGACGCGUGAAGUGUGCUGUUGCUCACUCGUCUGGAUUUGGUAAUCCGACAAGCACCUGACUAUGCACAUCAUGGCACUAGGAUGCGGGAACGAGAAGGGGUAACCAUCCUGCCUAACUGGAACCGUCAUGAUGGGCACUCUAAGGUGACUGCCGGUGACAAACCGGAGGAAGGUGGGGAUGACGUCAAAUCAUCAUGCCCCUUAUGACCUGGGCUACACACGUGCUACAAUGGACGGUACAAAGGGCAGCCAACCCGCGAGGGGGAGCCAAUCCCAGAAAACCGUUCUCAGUUCGGAUUGCAGGCUGCAACUCGCCUGCAUGAAGCCGGAAUCGCUAGUAAUCG
Molecule: ribosomal RNA, 1273 nt
Filed under: Planococcus halocryophilus
Lineage: Bacteria; Bacillati; Bacillota; Bacilli; Caryophanales; Caryophanaceae
Description: bacterial SSU rRNA
Rfam family: Bacterial small subunit ribosomal RNA
Source: RNAcentral